GACGAACGCUGGCGGCGUGCUUAACACAUGCAAGUCGAGCGGAAAGGCCCUUUCGGGGGUACUCGAGCGGCGAACGGGUGAGUAACACGUGAGUAACCUGCCCUGGACUUUGGGAUAACCCUCGGAAACGGGGGCUAAUACCGGAUAUGACGGGCUGCCGCAUGGUGGCUUGUGGAAAGUUUUUCGGUCUGGGAUGGGCUCGCGGCCUAUCAGCUUGUUGGUGGGGUGAUGGCCUACCAAGGCGACGACGGGUAGCCGGCCUGAGAGGGCGACCGGCC
This 278-nucleotide ribosomal RNA is filed under the name uncultured bacterium. Its description in RNAcentral is "partial 16S ribosomal RNA". It matches the Rfam family "Bacterial small subunit ribosomal RNA", at positions 28 to 309 of the family's 1533-position model. The record is from RNAcentral.